Molecule: long non-coding RNA, 555 nt
Organism: Brassica napus (rape)
Lineage: Eukaryota; Viridiplantae; Streptophyta; Magnoliopsida; Brassicales; Brassicaceae
Exons: 4
Source: RefSeq, a predicted model, not a curated record
AUCUCUAUGGUAAGGUUUAGGUUUUGUUGUCGAAUACAGUUACAUUAUUUUGCUUUUUUUUGUUGUUGUUGGUAUUUUAUUGGGAUGCAGAUAAAGAUCCAGAGUUAUGGUAACCAAGCUGAGAUCAAAGUGCAAAGGUUGUAAGAGAGACAAAGAGAGAAAGGCUUUAAAAAGGAUGAUCUGCAUUUUAUGUUGAGGAGAGCUUAGUGAAGCGAGUGCUAGGGUAUUGCAUCACAUCGCUUCAGCUCCAGAGGAAGGAAAUGUCAAACAACAAUUAUCUUGGUGUUGACUCCGCGUGGAACUGCGUAUCAGAUUCUGAAAACCCGACAUGUGCAGUCAUGAAGCACAAAUCCUUGUGGUGAGGCCUACCGGCUAGCUGUAAUAGCUGAUCCAGGUAGCACCUUUCGUGGUAUUGUAGCCGCCAAUGUCAAAGUAGACAAGGGAUUCUUCGCAACAAAAAGAAAAGACAUCUAUUGUGUUACUGAUCACAACCUCACCAUCUGUUUCACUCAGAAUAUUGUCCUCUCGGAGCUUCAGUACAACCCAGUUGUGAUC